AAACUCUAUAUAUGUGAUUGAUCUGUUAGGUGAUCUUUGAGGGACGUAGAGGAAGCACAUCCCUGUCAGAUGUUUCCAUUGAUGAUGUCUCUCUACACAAAGGAACCUGUGAUGAUUUAACAAACCCAUUGCCACCCGGACCCAUCCCAACUACAACCAGACCUACCCCAACUACAACCAGACCCACCGAAACCACAACUGCGCCCAUAACAACUACCACCUCAGGUGGUGGAAGUGCAGUUUGUAACCUGAACUGUGAUUUUGACGGUGAUAUCUGCGCUUGGAGUCAGAUGCCGACUGAUGCUUUUGAUUGGACAAGACACACAGGCUCCACCCCCUCUUUGAUGACUGGCCCCUCCUCUGACCACACAACAGGAAGUG
Non-coding RNA from Paramisgurnus dabryanus, 381 nucleotides. The record is from RefSeq and is a predicted model, not a curated record. NCBI's taxonomy places the organism in Eukaryota, Metazoa, Chordata, Actinopteri, Cypriniformes, Cobitidae.